Molecule: long non-coding RNA, 393 nt
Organism: Marmota flaviventris (yellow-bellied marmot)
Lineage: Eukaryota; Metazoa; Chordata; Mammalia; Rodentia; Sciuridae
Source: RefSeq, a predicted model, not a curated record
CAGGCCCCGCCGCAGGUCUGCGCUCGCGUGGGCCCGGGUUCACUGGGGCACGGCUUCUGCGCAGUGUCUGCACCAGGGUACCGGCCCAGGCCCUGUGCGUACCAUUUCGAGGCACCUGACCCGGAACAACCUUCUUGCUUCCUGCGUGAGUUCCCUCCAAAACGGACUGGAAUCCACCCAGUCCCACCUCCUCUGCGAUUCUGCAGUCUCUGGACUACGGCUGUGCCCACACCACCAAGCACCUGGAGACCUGGACCUCAGAGCUCUGCAUUGGCCAGUGAGGAUAACCUGUUUUGCUUCCUGAAAAUAUCCCUCUCUUCUGAAAGCUUGUAGAAAACACUCAAUAAAUGUUUGUAAACUCAUAAUAAAUGAAUAGAUGUUUGGAUAAGCAGA